GAAAGGGUGUUGUCUCUGGUAUACAUCUGACCUUGUGAUUAUGUGUUGUUUCAAUCUUAGAUGUGCAGUAUUCAACAAUGUCUGACGAGUAAUUGCCAAAGUGCUACUCUGUUCAUGUUCGUUUUCCCCUACAUUCCAAUUGUUUUGGGGCAGAAAUUCCUCUAAUCUCUUGACUCUGUUUUCAGAGAUUCGGUGUGGUUCAGAUUCUCAUGCUGGAGGAAAAGGAGGGUGCUCCCAAUCAGAUGGAGCUCAUUACCUUAGCAACAAGCCUGUGAAUGGUCUGUCUCGUUUCCCUCUCCCAUUUAUUAUUUUUCAGAACAACAUUUUUGCACUGUCUGACUACUGAUUGGCAAAGGGCUACUCUUAGAUCAUGUCUUAUUUUCUUUUCGCUCCAAUUGUUUUCGCUCCAAUUGUAAUGGAAUGAGUGUGAGUAUGGGGUAGUGUAAUCCUGUAACUUAUCUCGAUAUGGUAUAUAUGGAAAAAUCGUUUUCUAUAAUCUCUGCAUUUAUAUUAGUUGGGAAUAGUAAGUCUUGGAUUAUCUAUCCUUCAGAAUUCGAGAUUUUCUGUUUUGACGGGGGAAAAUACUCCAUGAUUUUGUAGUGGGUUUAAUUGUUUUUAGCAUAAUGAACAUGUGCUUUGCUUUCAUAGAAGUUGUAUUUGCAAUGGUGUGUGAAUGGUGUGUUUCCAGUGAAUGGUGUGUUUCCAGUGACCAUACUUUCAUAGAAGUUGUAUUUGCAAUGCAAUUAUUUUGUCUAUAUCCUAGAUAUAACCACAAUAUUGCAAUUUGAAAUUUGUUCUUGUGCUUUGGUUGUACAAUUGGCAAAAUGAAGACUACAUGCUUUUGUUAAGCAAUCAAAAUCUCCUUGGUGCAAAUGCUUCAAUCCAAGCUUAUCAAUCAUAUUUGUGUAUUUGUGCAUAUAAAUUUCUUUGCUGCAUGGUGCAUUGGAUCAAGGCAUAAAGUUACUUUGACCCUGACAAGGACAUCUCUUAAUUAAUAAUGAUGUACAUGGAUAGCAGUACCACCAAACAUUUGAGAUAGUUUGAGAAAGCAAAAUGGCACUAUCUUACUUUACUGGCAUAUGGUAUUCUGGUGAGUUGAAAUAUUUAUUAUUUAGAUGGUUCUGGUUGGUUAGUUUGUGAAAGCAAAAUGACACUAUUUUACUUUAUUGGUAUAUGGUAUUCUGACGAGUUGAAAUAUUUAUUAUCUAGCUGGUUCUGGUUGGUCUCUUAAAAUAAUGUAAUGCAUUUUUACUUGUGACUCGUAAGAUAUCUGAGCAAUUGGCAGAUGAUUUACUCUAUGUUUAAUUUUUUCUCAGUUGCUUAGGAUCCAUUGCAGCAGGUAUUUUCUGGCUCAAAUUUUACAGAUUGAAGGUAUGAGCUCAUAACUGAAGCUUUCACUUAGAUGGCAUGAACACCUAUUUUGUACAAUUAAAUAUAGCUACAUCUUAUGUGGUCUUUUUACUCUGGAGCACAUGAACUUCUCACCCGAUGAAGGAAAAAUUACCAGUUUAAUCUCGAUGUUAAAUAAAUAAAUAAAAAUCCUAUAUAGUUAAGGUGCAACAUGAUUUUGUUGUGAAAGGAAUUAGUAUGCUCUUUCCUUGAACCAGAAUUAGUCUGGUGUAAACAGUUACUAAAGUUUAAUAGGUUCCACGUGAUGGCUUUUAUACUACUUUAUUUAUUGUAUGUGCUACAGUGAUAAUGUUACACAGUUGAUGCAUUAUUUCCCUUGUUCAGGUAAGUAACACAAGGGAUAUUCCAUGCUCUACCUAUGACCGCUCUUGGGGCUGUUUUGUGUAGUUAAUUUCUAACACAAGUUUUAACAGCCAAUUCUUUUGGGAUCAUGUGCAAUUUGCUGUUAAAAUGAGGUAUGACAAACUUGGGCUUAAAAAUGAUUAGUUAGCACUGAUUGCUCUGAAGUAAGACAAUGGACCUUUAUAUGUAAAUAACUUCUUCAGUACUCAAAAACUCUAACCAAUUAUUAUUAAUGAUGUACAAUGUGCUCAUCCUGAUAAUGAAGUGCAUCUGAGCAUUUGAAACGAAUCUAGAUUCUAGCUCUAGCUAAGGUUAUACAGAUAUUGUGCUGAACCUUGAUGCUACUAUUAUGUGUAGUAAAAUUUUUGGGGUCGGAAUUGACCAAACUUAUGGAUUUAUUCAACGUUUCAAUUCAGUGACAAAUGCUACUAUUUUCUAUAUUCAGAUACUUGGUACUGAUUUCUUGAUCAAACUCAUUAAACUUAGCAUUCCUUAUAGUUAUCCCCACACGCUGAGGUUGCGCCUGUGCCAGGGCAGAAGACACGCCUACAUCGUGGACGGAUAUGCGCUGCCAUGGACUGACCUCAGCACAGAUCGUGAUUGAUUUGUGGGUGACCCCGGUUUGAUGUCUGGUUGUUGGGCUGCGCAGGUGGGCUGUCGCUUGGGAUCGAAAAGGAUAGGGCAUCUACUGCCACCAUGGGGUUUGUCGACGACUCCAAAGGGCAUGCUGUCGCUACCAGAAGUGGAGCGAGUGCCCAUCCUCGACGCAGGCCUCCCCACCGCGACUAGAAGUAGGAGUACAUUGUACCAUUAGCAAUAUAUUCAGUCGUGAGGUCAGUUCUCCUGUCUAUGACAUGCAGACAUAUAACAAACUUGCUACUCAAAUCACCCUCCCUCCAUCUUACAUAGCUCCUGAGGACACUGGUAAAAUUAGUGGAACAAUUUGGACCGAGGAAGUGGUCUUACAUAGCACAACUGCUGCCAGCAGGAGUGGGGAAGCAAUGCAGAGAAAGAUGGCACAACCAUUUGAGGCCAAACAUCAAGUAAUAUUUGGAAUGGUCAUAAGUCAAACUAGACUUCCCUAGCGACAGCGAUUCAACGAAUAAGAACCAGGCCAACAGUUAUGUAGUGCAGAGAUCUACUCCCAGUCCCGGGAACCAGCUUCCAGUGCCUCUUGUACCGAUCAUCGGCAAGGGAGUGCUAGAGGAGGAGGUUAUGGUGAGUCACACGUGGGGGAUCGCUGCCGCUGGGUCAAACACCUCGUGCUUCACCAGAACUGAAGCCGACCCAGUCUCCUUCAUCAACAUGGUGACUCCUCCCACUAUUGAGGUACACAGGCACUCAUGCAUCAUCCACUCUGUCCCAUCCUUGCCGAGCGCAACCCAUGGAAGUGGUGGCACGGACUAAGGUGGUGAGCACGACGGAGAGCCAACCUAUGGAAGAUAUGGAAAUAUCACGGUUCACUUGGACAAUUGAGACAUUCACCAGGUUCAGUGGGAAAGAAGCACCAUUCAGAGGUUUUUGUUGGUGGUGGAUUCAAAUGGUGAGCUCCUGAUCCUUCCACUGUCAUGCCUGCAGAAACCAUGGAGUUUUUUCUACCCCUUCUAUUCUUUAGAGUACUCGUAACAUUUGUUGACCUUCAUGGAGAUGUGUGCUGAUUUUACCCAAGGGGAACAAUGUGGACCACUUCUCAAUGUACUUGGAUGUUGCUGACUCAACCAACCUUUUGUAUGAUUGCACCCCUAACCUACAUAGUUGAGUAUUAGGUUUCUAAAUUUUGAAAUAAACCUUUGUUUCUUCCGUAUGGUUGGAGACUAUGUGAUAUUCCUUAUACUUCUUGUUCAUUUUUUGUUUGAUGAAGGAAGUCUGUAAGUUAACUUUUUUAUACAGUUUAUUUUUGAAGAUAUCUCAUGACUUGUUUCAAUCUUGAUAUCGCAGUAUGCGAAGAAUGACAUUCUUUUCCUUGAUUUCCCCUGUUUUGCGACUCCAGCUGAGGCGCUUUGAGUAUAUGAGAGAUACCAUGGUAAAGGUAAAUGAUCGCUGAGUUCCCUCUGUAACUUGAUCUGAAUAGAGAUGCUAGCAAAUACAUUGCUCCAAAUGCAGAUCGAAGUACAGAAGACCUUUACACUCUUCACAGACAAUGGCUUUUACCACUUACUGUAAUUUGACGAUACGAGAAAGAACAAUUGGAUCUAGAAUUUGAUGAGUAGCCACUCCAUUAUCACAUAUCCAUGGAUGCUUUGAGCAUUUAGAACGAAAAGAUCAUUCUGCCGCAUGAACUAGAGACUGCACGGAUUAAUGAGUUGCUUGGGAAUAUUCAGGCCGUGGUUACUCCUGAAAUGAAUCAGACAACAAUAAUUGAGGAAUUUGACAAGGGACACCAGCUUGAAGAAGUUAAAAC
Long non-coding RNA from Zea mays, 4153 nucleotides. RefSeq lists it as uncharacterized. The transcript is spliced from 10 exons. Lineage: Eukaryota; Viridiplantae; Streptophyta; Magnoliopsida; Poales; Poaceae. The record is from RefSeq and is a predicted model, not a curated record.